Molecule: ribosomal RNA, 253 nt
Filed under: uncultured bacterium
Lineage: Bacteria
Description: partial 16S ribosomal RNA
Rfam family: Bacterial small subunit ribosomal RNA
Source: RNAcentral
UACGUAGGGUGCGAGCGUUGUCCGGAAUUAUUGGGCGUAAAGGGCUCGUAGGCGGUUUGUCGCGUCGGGAGUGAAAUCCACUGGCUUAACUGGUGGCUUGCUUUCGAUACGGGCGGACUGGAGGUAUGCAGGGGAGAACGGAAUUCCUGGUGUAGCGGUGAAAUGCGCAGAUAUCAGGAGGAACACCGGUGGCGAAGGCGGCAUCCUGGACCGACAUUGACGCUGAGGAGCGAAAGCUAGGGGAGCAAACGGG